Molecule: long non-coding RNA, 450 nt
Organism: Brienomyrus brachyistius
Lineage: Eukaryota; Metazoa; Chordata; Actinopteri; Osteoglossiformes; Mormyridae
Exons: 3
Source: RefSeq, a predicted model, not a curated record
ACGAAGCUGAAAAGUUUAACCCAGAGAAACGCCAUCUUCCUCUGCUGCUUGAAGUUGCCGUCUUGUGCUCUCCACAUGGUCCUCUCCCUAAUCCGGUUCUCGUCUCGGUGAAGCCCUGCAGGACCCUAUUCACUGCUGCAUCCGGAAACACUCCCUCAUUACUCGUGCCGGGAAAACUCCAAUUACUGUUUAUUUUCGCAGAGCGGGAGAAACCUGCGUAUGACCUGCGUAAUCGGGGGAAUGAUAUUCCACUGGUCUAUAGUGGGCUGCGUACAGAGAUUUUGGUUGGAUGCCUUUAAACUGAUGGGAAUUCGCUGGAGUGAUUUGGAGCCACCCCGGGAAUAAAAUCGCUGAAUGGAUUCCUUUCCGAGGCUGAGAUUCAUCCGUUCCAAGGUGUGCAGCCCUUGGUACCAUCGUGCGGUUUCCGAAGAAGCCCAGAUGACGAAGGUA